ACCUGGCUGGCUUAGUGGGUGGAGCAUGAGACUCUUGAUCUAAGGGUCAUGAGUUCAAGCCCCAUGUUGGGCA
Molecule: transfer RNA, 73 nt
Filed under: Felis catus (domestic cat)
Lineage: Eukaryota; Metazoa; Chordata; Mammalia; Carnivora; Felidae
Rfam family: tRNA
About the family: Transfer RNA (tRNA) molecules are approximately 80 nucleotides in length. Their secondary structure includes four short double-helical elements and three loops (D, anti-codon, and T loops).
Source: Rfam by way of RNAcentral